CCUACGGGAGGCAGCAGUGAGGAAUAUUGGUCAAUGGACGCAAGUCUGAACCAGCCAUGCCGCGUGCAGGAUGACGGCUCUAUGAGUUGUAAACUGCUUUUGUACGAGGGUAAACGCAGACACGCGUAUCUGUUUGAAAGUAUCGUACGAAUAAGGAUCGGCUAACUCCGUGCCAGCAGCCGCGGUAAUACGGAGGAUUCAAGCGUUAUCCGGAUUUAUUGGGUUUAAAGGGUGCGUAGACGGUCGGAUAAGUUAGAGGUGAAAUCAUGAGGCUCAACUUCGGAAUUGCCUUUGAUACUGUUCGGCUAGAGAGUAGUUGCGGUAGGCGGAAUGUAUGGUGUAGCGGUGAAAUGCUUAGAGAUCAUACAGAACCCCGAUUGCGAAGGCAGCUUACCAAGCU
RNAcentral lists this ribosomal RNA (400 nucleotides) under uncultured bacterium. RNAcentral's name for it is "partial 16S ribosomal RNA". It matches the Rfam family "Bacterial small subunit ribosomal RNA", at positions 338 to 735 of the family's 1533-position model. The record is from RNAcentral.